UCACUUACCUGGACGAGGUCAAUGGGCGAUCAAAAAGGUCCAUGGCCUAGGUUGGUGACCUCCAUUGCACUUUGGAGGGGUGCCCGCCUAAGGUCGGCCCCAAGUGGUCGAGCCUACGUCAUAAUUUGUGGCAGCUGGGGCCUGUGUUCGCGCGGCCCCUGC
Molecule: small nuclear RNA, 162 nt
Filed under: Helianthus annuus (common sunflower)
Lineage: Eukaryota; Viridiplantae; Streptophyta; Magnoliopsida; Asterales; Asteraceae
Description: U1 spliceosomal RNA
Rfam family: U1 spliceosomal RNA
About the family: U1 is a small nuclear RNA (snRNA) component of the spliceosome (involved in pre-mRNA splicing).
Source: RNAcentral